GACCGUCGUGAGACAGGUUGGUUACUAUCUAAUCCAUGUGUUAGUGGUCUGAGGGGAAGGUGGCUCCAGUACGAGAGGAACGAGUUGUCGGUGCCUCUGGUUUACCAGUUGUCUGAUAAGGCAUUGCUGGGCAGCUACGCACUGGACGAUAAAGGCUGAAAGCAUCUAAGCCUGAGGUGUCCCCUGAAAAUAGAUUGCUUAGGACGCGAGUAGAAGACUCGUUUGAUGGGGUAGGGAUGUGAGCUUCGAGGUUUUUUUCCGAGUUGUUUAGUCCGCUGCUUCCAAUUGUUCGCUUGCUUUAUUUU
RNAcentral lists this ribosomal RNA (305 nucleotides) under Methanobrevibacter sp. Its description in RNAcentral is "partial 23S ribosomal RNA". It matches the Rfam family "Archaeal large subunit ribosomal RNA", at positions 2683 to 2987 of the family's 2987-position model. The record is from RNAcentral. Lineage: Archaea; Methanobacteriati; Methanobacteriota; Methanobacteria; Methanobacteriales; Methanobacteriaceae.